AAAGUCGUAACAAGGUUUCCGUAGGUGAACCUGCGGAAGGAUCAUUACAGAGAUCAUGCCCUUCGGGGUAGACCUCCCACCCUAUGUUUACAUUACCUUUGUUGCUUUGGCGGGCCGUUCAGCCCUGUGCUGAACUACCGGCUUAUGCUGGUAAGCGCCUGCCAGAGGACCCCAACCUCUGAAUGUUAUUGUCGUCUGAGUACUAUAUAAUAGUUAAAACUUUCAACAACGGAUCUCUUGGUUCUG
Molecule: unclassified non-coding RNA, 246 nt
Filed under: Ascomycota sp.
Lineage: Eukaryota; Fungi; Ascomycota
Description: partial contains small subunit ribosomal RNA, internal transcribed spacer 1, and 5.8S ribosomal RNA
Rfam family: Eukaryotic small subunit ribosomal RNA (bases 1-47)
Source: RNAcentral